RNAcentral lists this ribosomal RNA (253 nucleotides) under uncultured bacterium. RNAcentral's name for it is "partial 16S ribosomal RNA". It matches the Rfam family "Bacterial small subunit ribosomal RNA", at positions 524 to 776 of the family's 1533-position model. The record is from RNAcentral.
UACGUAGGGGGCAAGCGUUAUCCGGAUUUACUGGGUGUAAAGGGAGCGUAGACGGCAGUGCAAGUCCGGAGUGAAAGCCCGGGGCUCAACCCUGGGACUGCUCUGGAAACUGUAAAGCUGGAGUGCGGGAGGGGCAGGCGGAAUUCCUGGUGUAGCGGUGAAAUGCGUAGAUAUCAGGAGGAGCACCGGCGGCGAAGGCGGCCUGCUGGACCGUAACUGACGUUGAGGCUCGAAAGCGUGGGGAGCAAACAGG